RNAcentral lists this transfer RNA (75 nucleotides) under Bacteroidota bacterium. RNAcentral describes it as "Bacteroidetes bacterium (bioreactor sludge metagenome) tRNA-Thr". It matches the Rfam family "tRNA". Rfam says of the family: Transfer RNA (tRNA) molecules are approximately 80 nucleotides in length. Their secondary structure includes four short double-helical elements and three loops (D, anti-codon, and T loops). The record is from RNAcentral. Lineage: Bacteria; Pseudomonadati; Bacteroidota. RNAcentral also lists the same sequence under 1 other name.
GCUGGCGUAGCUCAGUGGUAGAGCAGCGCACUUGUAAUGCGCAGGUCGGGGGUUCAACUCCCUUCGCCAGCUCCA